UGGGGAUUAUUGCACAAUGGGCGCAAGCCUGAUGCAGCCAUGCCGCGUGUAUGAAGAAGGCCUUCGGGUUGUAAAGUACUUUCAGUCGGGAGGAAGGUGGUAAGGUUAAUAACCUUAUCAAUUGACGUUACCGACAGAAGAAGCACCGGCUAACUCCGUGCCAGCAGCCGCGGUAAUACGGAGGGUGCAAGCGUUAAUCGGAAUUACUGGGCGUAAAGCGCACGCAGGCGGUUGAUUGAGUCAGAUGUGAAAUCCCCGGGCUUAACCCGGGAAUUGCAUCUGAUACUGGUUAGCUAGAGUCUUGUAGAGGGGGGUAGAAUUCCAUGUGUAGCGGUGAAAUGCGUAGAGAUGUAGAGGAAUACCGGUGGCGAAGGCGGCCCCCUGGACAAAGACUGACGCUCAGGUGCGAAAGCGUGGGGAGCAAACAGG
Molecule: ribosomal RNA, 429 nt
Filed under: Chloroflexota bacterium
Lineage: Bacteria; Bacillati; Chloroflexota
Description: Chloroflexi bacterium partial 16S ribosomal RNA
Rfam family: Bacterial small subunit ribosomal RNA
Source: RNAcentral